Molecule: RNA transcript, 1171 nt
Organism: Lagenorhynchus albirostris (white-beaked dolphin)
Lineage: Eukaryota; Metazoa; Chordata; Mammalia; Artiodactyla; Delphinidae
Gene: TSLIG1
Gene name: zinc finger and BTB domain containing 8 opposite strand
Exons: 10
Source: RefSeq, a predicted model, not a curated record
AGCCGCAAUCAUGGCGCUGGAAGGGGAAAAUGUUAGAGAUUACAGUUUGACUGAGAAGCAGAAGGCGAUCAAGGCCAAGUAUCCUCCAGUCAAUCGGAAGUACGAGUAUUUGGAUCAUACAGCUGAUGUUCAGUUACACGCAUGGGGAGAUACUCUGGAGGAAGCAUUUGAGCAAUGUGCAAUGGCCAUGUUUGGUUAUAUGACAGAUACUGGGACAGUGGAGCCCCUCCAAGCAACAGAAGUAGAAACCCAAGGAGAUGACUUACAAUCUCUUCUGUUUCACUUUUUGAAUGAAUGGCUUUAUAAAUUCAGUGCUGAUGAAUUCUUCAUAGCCCGGGAAGUAAAAGUACUUAAUAUUGAUCAAAGAAAUUUCAAAUUACGGUCAAUUGGGUGGGGAGAAGAAUUCUCAUUGUCCAAGCACCCUCAGGGGGUGAUAAAAGAACAAGCUAAAGAUGACACCAUGCAUGUAGAAGCAAGCAGAGAAAUCCAGAGAUCUCAGUUCCAUUGUCACCACCUCAAGAGAAGCCUUCCUUGAUCACCUCACCAAAGCAGCACUCCCCAAUCCAGGGCAGAAAGGACACUUGUGCAGCUUGAUGGGCACCACCAGCACACCACCUGGGGAACCAAAUGGUACUGUGAGCAGCAACAACACUGGCCGCCCUCCGAUGGAUGGGAUCCAGAGCAGGGGAGUUCGACCAGCCCAGGUCGAGAAGAAGGACCCCAACUCCACCAGCAGCUAACAGCGAAACAGUGUCUGCAAAUUGCCACUCUGGCUCCCCGUCAGCCAGAGGAGAAGGUGGGCUUCUGAUAUAAGAUUGCAAGGAAUGCUGACAAUAAUGAUUGAGACCCUGUUCUAGACUGAAUUUCAUCCCCCUCAAAUUCAUACAUUGAAGCCAUAACCUCCAAUGUGACUAUAUGUGAAGACAGGGCCUUUAAGGAGGUAAUUAAGGUUAAAUGAGGUCGUAAGGGUAGAGCUCGAAUUUGGUAGGACUGAUGUCCUUAUAAGAAGAGGAAACUAUGCCAGAGAUGGCUUCCUCUCCCUACUCUUGUACGGAGGAAAGGUCAUGUGAGGACCAGCAAGAAGGCAGUCGUCUGCAAGCCAGAAAGAGAGCUCUCACCAGACACCAACCCUGCUGGCACCUUGAUCUUGGACUCUGCACCUCCAAAACUG